RNAcentral lists this ribosomal RNA (235 nucleotides) under uncultured bacterium. Its description in RNAcentral is "partial 16S ribosomal RNA". It matches the Rfam family "Bacterial small subunit ribosomal RNA", at positions 99 to 334 of the family's 1533-position model. The record is from RNAcentral.
CGAACGGGUGAGUAACACGUGAGCAACCUACCUUACACAGGGGGAUAGCCGUUGGAAACGACGAUUAAUACCGCAUGAGACCACAGAAUCGCAUGAUAUAGGGGUCAAAGAUUUAUCGGUGUAAGAAGGGCUCGCGUCUGAUUAGCUAGUUGGAAGGGUAAAGGCCUACCAAGGCGACGAUCAGUAGCCGGUCUGAGAGGAUGAACGGCCACAUUGGAACUGAGACACGGUCCAA